This 310-nucleotide ribosomal RNA is filed under the name Marasmius oreades (fairy-ring Marasmius). RNAcentral describes it as "LSU rRNA". It matches the Rfam family "Eukaryotic large subunit ribosomal RNA", at positions 351 to 648 of the family's 3401-position model. The record is from RNAcentral. Lineage: Eukaryota; Fungi; Basidiomycota; Agaricomycetes; Agaricales; Marasmiaceae.
CCGUGAGGGAAAGAUGAAAAGAACUUUGGAAAGAGAGUGAAACAGUACGUGAAAUUGCUGAAAGGGAAACGCUUGAGGUCAGUCGCGUCGGCCGGGGAUCAGCCUUGCUCUUUUGCUUGGUGUACUUCCCGGCCGACGGGCCAGCAUCAGUUUCGAUCGGCGGAAAAAGGCCAGGGGAAUGUGGCACCUUCGGGUGUGUUAUAGCCCCUGGUCAUAUACGUCGGUCGGGACUGAGGAACUCAGCACGCCGCAAGGCCGGGUCUUUGACCACGUUCGUGCUUAGGAUGCUGGCAUAAUGGCCUUAAGCGAC